UCUCACCACACUUCCCAACCUGUCCCACCCCUCUGUUGUCUUGGGAAAGUUAUUUUUCUUUGGGGGUUGCUUCCUGUCUGCCCUUCCAGCCUUAAGGACUGACCCUCUAGCAGAUCUGUGGGAUCUGGGGGAAAUGGAUUGGUCUCAGGGAAACCAGCAAUAAGGACCCCAAUAGUACAAGCAUUUACCUUCAGAAUCUGACUGUUGAAUGUGUCCAGAUUCCAGGGCCCUAGGCUUGGGGGGUGGUGAUCAAAAAAUGGGGACUCCUUCCCUUCCUCCAGGGGGGGCACCUGUGUGGGAUCCAAGGCUGGUUCUGAGUAGGGGUACUGGGGCAGCCUUAGAGAGAGUCCCUUGGGGUCUUGGCUGAGGGCUUGAUGUCCAUCCAGGCUAGGAGGGCCACACAGGAGGCUGGGGACAUGGCUGGGGCUGUGAGCCCAGCCUCUGGGCACACAAGGAGCAGCCCGAGGGGAGACCCGUGGGAGGGGAACAGAACAGUCUGGUUUGCUCUAGGCUGAAGUGCUGAGGGUCUCUGCUAGGCCGUGAGGACACAGGGACAGAGACAUGAGUGAUGUAGGACAAAGUGUCCAGAAACACAGCCCUCCCAGGAUGUUGGUCAGAAAGGAGCAGGUCCCAUGGGGCAGAGCCUUACCUGUCCCUGGAGCCCCAUAAUCCUCAGGUGUCUCAACUGUCCAAGGGAUGGUCUCCUGCCUUCCUCAAAAGGUACUUUAGACUUAAGAGAUGACAAAGUGGGGAGUGAGUGGGGGCUCAGAGCUACACAGCUGCCCCUUAAAGUCAGGAGUCAUCAGAGGUGCUUGGGUGGCCAUGGGACCACACUGCCUGUCGUCUGCGAGGAGUAGCCCCAAGAAGGCAGCAGAAGUGAAGGGUCCUGUGGUCAGGGCAGGAGGGAUGAGGGAGAUAGCAGAGCCUUGGAGUACCCAGCCUUCCCAGGAGGCAGGAACAGAGCCAUUCCUGAGGGAGACGGGGGCUCCGUGUCCCACCUGGUGCAGGGCUUGUGACCUGCAUGCACACCGUCACAGUUGUCCUAACUGGCUGGGUAGGGGACUCCAGUUCACAGGGGAAGCACCUAGAUCCAGAAGAAUGAUGUGAUAUGGGGACCAGAUGCUGGGCUGUGGAGGAAACCGAGGCUGCAAAUGCACCUUUCACAUCUGGAAGAGGUGACAUGGAAGAGCUGCUGGGAGCAUGGGGGGCUGCCUGCUGUCCAGAGCUGGAGUGGAAAAGAGAGUCCCUUGGGUGAACAAGCAUGCCCAUCAUGGGAACAGUCACAGAGGCUGUAGAUGAGGGAAGGGCUGCCCAACACCUGGAUUGUCCCCGCAUCUCUCACCCUCUUCUUUGUCCACACAGGUCAGCCCAAGUCUGCGCCCUCGGUCACGCUCUUCUUGCCAUUCUCUGAGGAGCUGGGCGCCAACAAGGCCACCCUGGUGUGUCUCAUCAGUGACUUCUACCCUGGCAGCUUGAAGGUGGCCUGGAAGGCAGACGGCAGCCCCAUCACCCAGGGCGUGGAGACCACCAAGCCCUCCAAACAGAUCAACAACAAGUACGUGGCCAGCAGCUACCUGAACCUGUCGCCGGAGAAGUGGAAAUCUCACAGCAGCUUCAGCUGCCUGGUCACGCACGAGGGGAGCACCGUGGAGAAGAAGGUGGUCCCCGCAGAGUGCCCCUAGGUCCCUGAGACCCUCCCCCACCCAUGGGGGCCUGGAGCCACAGGACCUCCAGGAGGGUUUGCCCUCCCACCUGGGUCAUCCCAGGCCUUCUCCCUGCACCCAGUCAACACUCAAUAAAAUGUUCUUUAUUCA
Ailuropoda melanoleuca (giant panda) is the source of this 1814-nucleotide non-coding RNA. Lineage: Eukaryota; Metazoa; Chordata; Mammalia; Carnivora; Ursidae. The record is from the annotation of a RefSeq genome assembly.